RNAcentral lists this ribosomal RNA (276 nucleotides) under uncultured prokaryote. RNAcentral's name for it is "partial 16S ribosomal RNA". It matches the Rfam family "Bacterial small subunit ribosomal RNA", at positions 524 to 801 of the family's 1533-position model. The record is from RNAcentral.
UACGUAGGGGCUAGCGUUAUCCGGAAUUACUGGGCGUAAAGGGUGCGUAGGUGGUUUCUUAAGUCAGAGGUGAAAGGCUACGGCUCAACCGUAGUAAGCCUUUGAAACUGGGAAACUUGAGUGCAGGAGAGGAGAGUGGAAUUCCUAGUGUAGCGGUGAAAUGCGUAGAUAUUAGGAGGAACACCAGUUGCGAGGGCGGCUCUCUGGACUGUAACUGACACUGAGGCACGAAAGCGUUGGGAGCAAACAGGAUUAGAUACCCUGGUAGUCCCUGAG